CUUGAUGAGAGUCCCGUUAUGUUUUUUGCUUGCAAAAAAAGAACAGAAUUAACUUCAGUUGUUCUGUUCUUUUUGUGUGAGAAGGUUGUGUGUUUAACAAAAUCAAAAAAUGAAAGGUUUAAAGUUUAUUAAAACAAUUUUUGGUGAUAAAAAGGAGAUUAUUUGUGUUAGCUUUGACGGAGUUAACAAUUACAAAUUGUUCUUGGAUGAAGUUCGAAAAAGCUACAGUUUAGGUGGAGAUGUUGAUGUAGAUGUACUCUCUAAAGGAUUUAGCAUAAAACCAAGCUUUUUUUCCGAUUUUGUUAGUUAAUUUAUUGGAUCUACCGAUUUUGUUCUAGAUAUUAAACUAUCAAAUGCUGACGUUUGUGUAUCCAAUACGGACUCCGCUUUUGAAGGUGAAUCUACAGAUUCUGGUAGAAUUAGAGAAACGCCAUCAACAGAAAGUUUCACAGCUGCUCGCCAAGCAAUAUCCUGCAUUGGAGAAGAACCAUUCUUAAAUUCCUCACAAGACAUAAUUGUGCUCACAACUGUUGACAAUUUGGAUUGUCUUCCAUCAAAGCAAGAAAUUAGCGCAAUCCCUGACAUUCACCAAUUCUUAAAUGUUAAAACGUUGGAAAAUAAGGACCGCAUUAAAAUUGCAAAGGCCUUAAUUGAAUUUAUUCUAAAUAAAAACCCAAGUAGACAGUAUGUAU
Musca vetustissima is the source of this 692-nucleotide long non-coding RNA. RefSeq lists it as uncharacterized. The record is from RefSeq and is a predicted model, not a curated record. The transcript has 4 exons. Lineage: Eukaryota; Metazoa; Arthropoda; Insecta; Diptera; Muscidae.